RNAcentral lists this non-coding RNA (215 nucleotides) under Alkaliphilus oremlandii. RNAcentral's name for it is "T-box sequence". It matches the Rfam family "T-box leader". From Rfam's summary of the family: Uncharged tRNA acts as the effector for transcription antitermination of genes in the T-box leader family. T-boxes are found upstream of many aminoacyl-tRNA synthetase genes and some amino acid biosynthetic genes usually in Gram-positive bacteria. The anticodon of a specific tRNA base pairs to a specifier sequence within the T-box motif, and the NCCA acceptor tail of the tRNA base pairs to a conserved bulge in the T-box antiterminator hairpin. Lineage: Bacteria; Bacillati; Bacillota; Clostridia; Peptostreptococcales; Natronincolaceae. The record is from RNAcentral.
GAAUAGACGAUGAUAGAGACAGUAAAUAUUUUUGAAAAAUCACAGCGAGCUGGGAAUGGUGGAAGCCUAGUAUUUACUAGAUCAUGUUGAAUAUCCCUCUGGAGUUUCAGACCGAAUUUUGAGUAGGUACUGGCGGUUUUCUACCGUUAAUAAGAGCACAUAUGUUGGUAUGUAGUAUCAGGUGGUAUAACGAAAUUUAGGCUUUCGUCCUGUUA